GCUCAGGAUGAACGCUGGCGGUAUGCUUAACACAUGCAAGUCGAACGGGAAUCUUAGGAUUCUAGUGGCGGACGGGUGAGUAACGCGUGAGAAUUUGGCUUCAGGUCGGGGACAACAGUUGGAAACGACUGCUAAUACCGGAUAUGCCGGAAGGUGAAAGAUUUAUUGCCUGAAGAUAAGCUCGCGUCUGAUUAGCUAGUUGGUGGGGUAAGAGCCUACCAAGGCGACGAUCAGUAGCUGGUCUGAGAGGAUGAUCAGCCACACUGGGACUGAGACACGGCCCAGACUCCUACGGGAGGCAGCAGUGGGGAAUUUUCCGCAAUGGGCGAAAGCCUGACGGAGCAAUACCGCGUGAGGGAGGAAGGCUCUUGGGUCGUAAACCUCUUUUCUCAGGGAAGAAAAAAAUGACGGUACCUGAGGAAUAAGCAUCGGCUAACUCCGUGCCAGCAGCCGCGGUAAUACGGAGGAUGCAAGCGUUAUCCGGAAUGAUUGGGCGUAAAGGGUCUGUAGGUGGUGCUGUAAGUCUGCUGUUAAAGAGUCACGCUCAACGUGAUAAAAGCGGUGGAAACUACAGGACUAGAGUGCGGUCGGGGCAGAAGGAAUUCCUGGUGUAGCGGUGAAAUGCGUAGAUAUCAGGAAGAACACCGGUGGCGAAAGCGUUCUGCUAGUCCGCAACUGACACUGAGGGACGAAAGCUAGGGGAGCGAAUGGGAUUAGAUACCCCAGUAGUCCUAGCCGUAAACGAUGGAUACUAGGCGUGGCUUGUAUCGACCCGAGCCGUGCCGGAGCUAACGCGUUAAGUAUCCCGCCUGGGGAGUACGCACGCAAGUGUGAAACUCAAAG
This 843-nucleotide ribosomal RNA is filed under the name uncultured bacterium. RNAcentral describes it as "bacterial SSU rRNA". It matches the Rfam family "Bacterial small subunit ribosomal RNA", at positions 22 to 906 of the family's 1533-position model. The record is from RNAcentral.